UACGGGGGAUGCAAGCGUUAUCCGGAAUCAUUGGGCGUAAAGCGCCUGUAGGUUGUUUAAUAAGUCUGUUGUUAAAGACUAGGGCUCAACCCUAGGAAAGCAAUGGAAACUACUAGACUAGAGUAUGGCAGGGGUAGAGGGAAUUUCUAGUGUAGCGGUGAAAUGCGUAGAUAUUAGAAAGAACACCAGUGGCGAAAGCGCUCUACUGGACCAUUACUGACACUCAGAGGCGAAAGCUAGGGUAGCAAAAGGGAUUAGAUACCCCUGUAGUCCUAGCCGUAAACGAUGGAUACUAGAUGUUGUACUUUAUGUACAGUGUCCUAGCUAACGCGUUAAGUAUCCCGCCUGGGGAGUACGCUCGCAAGGGUG
RNAcentral lists this ribosomal RNA (369 nucleotides) under uncultured phototrophic eukaryote. Its description in RNAcentral is "SSU rRNA". It matches the Rfam family "Bacterial small subunit ribosomal RNA", at positions 524 to 896 of the family's 1533-position model. The record is from RNAcentral.